GUGGGGAAUUUUGGACAAUGGGCGCAAGCCUGAUCCAGCAAUGCCGCGUGCAGGAAGAAGGCCUUCGGGUUGUAAACUGCUUUUGUACGGAACGAAACGGUCCGGGUUAAUACCCUGGGCUAAUGACGGUACCGUAAGAAUAAGCACCGGCUAACUACGUGCCAGCAGCCGCGGUAAUACGUAGGGUGCGAGCGUUAAUCGGAAUUACUGGGCGUAAAGCGUGCGCAGGCGGCUUUGCAAGACAGAUGUGAAAUCCCCGGGCUCAACCUGGGAACUGCAUUUGUGACUGCAAGGCUAGAGUACGGCAGAGGGGGAUGGAAUUCCGCGUGUAGCAGUGAAAUGCGUAGAUAUGCGGAGGAACACCAAUGGCGAAGGCAAUCCCCUGGGCCUGUACUGACGCUCAUGCACGAAAGCGUGGGGAGCAAACAGGAUUAGAUACCCUGGUAGUCC
RNAcentral lists this ribosomal RNA (450 nucleotides) under uncultured bacterium. RNAcentral's name for it is "partial 16S ribosomal RNA". It matches the Rfam family "Bacterial small subunit ribosomal RNA", at positions 354 to 796 of the family's 1533-position model. The record is from RNAcentral.